UCGAACGGGGUAGCAAUACCCAGUGGCGAACGGCGGAGUAAUACGUGGACAACGUGCCCUAAAGACUGGGAUAGCCCGGGGAAACCCGGAGUAAUACCGGAUGUGGUGUUUUCAACACAUGUUGGCGACAUUAAAUGGUUUUUCGCUUUAGGAGCGGUUCACGGCCUAUCAGGUAGUUGGUGGGGUAAUGGCCUACCAAGCCGACGACGGGUAGCGGGUCUGAGAGGAUGGUCCGAUCGAGUGGGACUGAGACACGGCCCACACACCUACGGGUGGCAGCAGUUGGGAAUCUUGCACAAUGGGGGAAACCCCGAUGCAGCGACGCCGCGUGGAGGACGAAGGGUCUAGGCCUGUAAACUCCUUUUCUCGGGAAAGACUUAGGACGGUACCCGAGGAAUAAGCACCGGCUAACUACGUGCCAGCAGCCGCGGUAAGACGUAGGGUGCAAGCGUUG
Molecule: ribosomal RNA, 454 nt
Filed under: uncultured bacterium
Lineage: Bacteria
Description: bacterial SSU rRNA
Rfam family: Bacterial small subunit ribosomal RNA
Source: RNAcentral